UACGGGGGGGGCGAGCGUUGUUCGGAAUCACUGGGCGUAAAGGGCGCGUAGGCGGCCCGCACAAGUCUGCGGUGAAAACCCCCGGCUUAACCGGGGGCCGGCCGUGGAAACUGUCGGGCUGGAGGCUGGGAGAGGGCAGCGGAAUUCCCGGUGUAGCGGUGAAAUGCGUAGAGAUCGGGAGGAACACCGGCGGCGAAGGCGGCUGCCUGGACCAGUCCUGACGCUGAGGCGGCGAAAGCUAGGGGAGCAAACAGG
This 255-nucleotide ribosomal RNA is filed under the name uncultured bacterium. RNAcentral's name for it is "partial 16S ribosomal RNA". It matches the Rfam family "Bacterial small subunit ribosomal RNA", at positions 524 to 776 of the family's 1533-position model. The record is from RNAcentral.